This 450-nucleotide ribosomal RNA is filed under the name uncultured bacterium. RNAcentral describes it as "partial 16S ribosomal RNA". It matches the Rfam family "Bacterial small subunit ribosomal RNA", at positions 29 to 523 of the family's 1533-position model. The record is from RNAcentral.
AGCGAACGCUGGCGGCAGGCCUAACACAUGCAAGUCGAACGAAGUCUUCGGACUUAGUGGCGGACGGGUGAGUAACACGUGGGAACGUGCCUUUAGGUUCGGAAUAACUCAGGGAAACUUGUGCUAAUACCGAAUGUGCCCUUCGGGGGAAAGAUUUAUCGCCUUUAGAGCGGCCCGCGUCUGAUUAGCUAGUUGGUGAGGUGAAGGCUCACCAAGGCGACGAUCAGUAGCUGGUCUGAGAGGAUGAUCAGCCACAUUGGGACUAGAGACACGGCCCAAACUCCUACGGGAGGCAGCAGUGGGGAAUCUUGCGCAAUGGGCGAAAGCCUGACGCAGCCAUGCCGCGUGAAUGAUGAAGGUCUUAGGAUUGUAAAAUUCUUUCACCGGGGACGAUAAUGACGGUACCCGGAGAAGAAGCCCCGGCUAACUUCGUGCCAGCAGCCGCAGUAA